This is a long non-coding RNA of Notolabrus celidotus (New Zealand spotty), 935 nucleotides long. RefSeq lists it as uncharacterized. NCBI's taxonomy places the organism in Eukaryota, Metazoa, Chordata, Actinopteri, Labriformes, Labridae. The transcript has 3 exons. The record is from RefSeq and is a predicted model, not a curated record.
UAGAAAUGUCAAUUUUUCAAAAGUCUUCCCUGCUGGACUCAGGUAGGAAGGGGAGGAGUCUCACGAGGCAGGAUAUGACAUCAGAAGUAGGCUGAGAAGCAGCAUGAUGGAGGACAAAACAACAGCAUCAGAUUUAUAUCAGUGCGCUGUUCAAUUGGAUGCUGAUGAAGGGAAAAGCUCGGGUUCUGCUUCCAAAGAUCUGAGAACCAAAAUCCAGUGAGGAGGAGAUGUGGAUUCACGCUAGUAGACGCUUUGCUGUCCAUGGUGAGGGAACAAAACAAGGAUCCACACGUCUUUGAGGGAACAUUUCAUUACUGCGCUUCCGGUUCCUGAGAUCUACUAUCUCCCAGGACCUGAAGUGGACCUCCCACAUAGACUCCAUCAGGAAGAAGGCACAGCAGAGGCUGCACUUCCUCAGACAGCUCAGGAAGUUCAACCUGCCCCGAGAACUGCUCAUCAUCUUUUACACCUCCAUCAUCCAGUCUGUCCUGUCUCUCUCCAUCACUGUUUGGUUUCCCUCUGCCUCCAAACAUGACAGGCACAUACUGCAGCGCACAGUCAGGUCUGCAGAGAAGAUCAUUGGAGUCAGCCUGCCCUCCAUCCAGGACUUGUACCGGUCCAGGACCAGGAAGCGGGCCACUAACAUCUCUGCAGACCCCUCACACCCUGGACACUCACUUUUCAAACUCCUCCCCUCCGGUCGGCGUUACAGAGCUCUGUACGCAAAAACAUCCAGACACAGGAACAGUUUCUUCCCCAGGCCGUCACACUGAUGAACACUUAACACUGUGUCAUAAACCAGCUACCUCAUGGACAGAGCCACCUUCAUCUUUGCACUAUUGCACAUUAUCAUGUUUGUCUAUUGUUUCUUUUAUUGCACUCGUGCCUUUUGUACUUAUAUAUAUAUUUUAUAUAUUUUUUAUUAGUACUUGAUU